RNAcentral lists this ribosomal RNA (1418 nucleotides) under metagenome. RNAcentral describes it as "bacterial LSU rRNA". It matches the Rfam family "Bacterial large subunit ribosomal RNA", at positions 1480 to 2925 of the family's 2925-position model. The record is from RNAcentral.
UGAGAGCACUACCUGGAAUGGAAUCCAGGGGCAAGCACAGGAGGGGUACGGCUGGAAAAACCGCCGUGCAACCCAAAGGUGUGACGCAUACCGAACUAAAGUAGGGAAAUGUGUGAGCCGGCUGCCGAGAAAAGCCGCUAUUGUUUGUACUGUACCCGUACCGUAAACCGACACAGGUGGAUGAGGAGAGAAUCCUAAGGCCGACGGAAGAAGCAUUGCUAAGGAACUCGGCAAAAUGACCCUGUAACUUCGGGAGAAAGGGUGCCUCGAAAGAGGCCGCAGAGAAUAGGCCCAAGCAACUGUUUAGCAAAAACACGGGUCUAUGCAAAACCGCAAGGUGAAGUAUAUGGGCUGACGCCUGCCCGGUGCUGGAAGGUUAAGGGGAGAUGUCAGGAGACGAAGCAUCGAACUUAAGCCCCAGUAAACGGCGGCCGUAACAAUAACGGUCCUAAGGUAGCGAAAUUCCUUGUCGGGUAAGUUCCGACCCGCACGAAAGGCGUAAUGAUUUGGGCGCUGUCUCGGCAAUGCAUCCGGUGAAAUUGAAGUGCCAGUGAAGAUGCUGGCUACCCGCGCCAGGACGGAAAGACCCCAUGGAGCUUUACUCCAGCUUGAUACUGGGAUCCGGUAUUGUAUGUACAGGAUAGGUGGGAGGCUGAGAAAUGGUGACGCCAGUCGCCAUGGAGCCGCUGUUGGGAUACCACCCUUGCAGUACUGGAUUUCUAACCAGCAGCCGUGAUCCGGCUGGGGGACAAUGUCAGGUGGGGAGUUUGACUGGGGCGGUCGCCUCCGAAAGGGUAUCGGAGGCGCUCAAAGGUUCCCUCAGAAUGGUCGGAAACCAUUCGAAGAGUGCAAAGGCAGAAGGGAGCUUGACUGCGACACCGACGGGUGGGGCAGGUACGAAAGUAGGACUUAGUGAUCCGGUGGUAUUAAGUGGGAAUGCCAUCGCUCAACGGAUAAAAGCUACCCUGGGAUAACAGGCUUAUCACUCCCAAGAGUUCACAUCGACGGAGUGGUUUGGCACCUCGAUGUCGGCUCAUCGCAUCCUGGGGCUGUAGUAGGUCCCAAGGGUUGGGCUGUUCGCCCAUUAAAGCGGUACGCGAGCUGGGUUCAGAACGUCGUGAGACAGUUCGGUCCCUAUCCGGCGUGGGCGUAGGAUAUUUGAGAGGAGCUGACCUUAGUACGAGAGGACCGGGUUGGACUGACCUCUGGUGCACCGGUUGUCAUGCCAAUGGCACAGCCGGGUAGCCAAGUCGGGAAGGGAUAAACGCUGAAGGCAUCUAAGCGUGAAGCCCCCCUCAAGAUGAGAUAUCCCCCGCAUAAGCGGUAAGACCCCUUGAAGACGACGAGGUAGAUAGGGCAGAGGUGGAAGUGCAGUAAUGUAUGGAGCUGACUGCUACUAAUAGGUCGAAGGCUUAACC